GGAGAGAUGGCUCAGCAGUUAAGAGUAUUGGCUGCAAUUCCAGAGGACCUGGGUUUGAUUCCUAGCUUCCUCG
This 73-nucleotide transfer RNA is filed under the name Neotoma lepida (desert woodrat). It matches the Rfam family "tRNA". Rfam says of the family: Transfer RNA (tRNA) molecules are approximately 80 nucleotides in length. Their secondary structure includes four short double-helical elements and three loops (D, anti-codon, and T loops). Further hydrogen bonds mediate the characteristic L-shaped molecular structure. tRNAs have two regions of fundamental functional importance: the anti-codon, which is responsible for specific mRNA codon recognition, and the 3' end, to which the tRNAs corresponding amino acid is attached (by aminoacyl-tRNA synthetases). tRNAs cope with the degeneracy of the genetic code in two manners: having more than one tRNA (with a specific anti-codon) for a particular amino acid; and 'wobble' base-pairing, i.e. permitting non-standard base-pairing at the 3rd anti-codon position. Lineage: Eukaryota; Metazoa; Chordata; Mammalia; Rodentia; Cricetidae. The record is from Rfam by way of RNAcentral.